AAUGAACGCUGGUGGCGUGCCUAACACAUGCAAGUCGAGCGGUAAGGCCCCUUCGGGGGUACACGAGCGGCGAACGGGUGAGUAACGCGUGGGUAACCUGCCUGGAAGUGGGGAAUAGCCUCGGGAAACCGGGGGUAAUACCGCAUAAGACCUACGGGUGGAAGACGGGGAUCUUCGGACCUGUCGCUUUCAGAUGGGCCCGCGUCCGAUUAGCUUGUUGGUGGGGUAAUGGCCCACCAAGGCUGCGAUCGGUAGCCGGCCUGAGAGGGUGAACGGCCACAUUGGGACUGAGACACGGCCCAGACUCCUACGGGAGGCAGCAGUGGGGAAUUUUGGGCAAUGGGGGAAACCCUGACCCAGCGACGCCACGUGGAGGAUGACGGCCUUCGGGUUGUAAACUCCUGUCAGGUGGGAAGAAAUCUCGGAGGUGAAUAGUCUUCGAGUCUGACUGUACCACCAAAGGAAGCCCCGGCUAACUCCGUGCCAGCAGCCGCGGUAAUACGGAGGGGGCAAGCGUUAUUCGGAAUUACUGGGCGUAAAGCGCACGUAGGCGGCAAGGCAAGUCGGAGGUGAAAGCCCUCGGCUCAACCGAGGAAUUGCCUCCGAAACUGCCUUGCUUGAGUCCGGGAGGGGGGAGCAGAAUUCCCAGUGUAGCGGUGAAAUGCGUAGAUACUGGGAGGAAUACCGGUGGCGAAGGCGGCUCCCUGGACCGGUACUGACGCUGAGGUGCGAAAGCGUGGGUAGCAAACAGGAUUAGAUACCCUGGUAGUCCACGCCGUANACGAUGGGCACUAGGUGCAGCGGGUGUCGACCCCUGCUGUGCCGAAGUUA
Molecule: ribosomal RNA, 831 nt
Filed under: uncultured Acidobacteriota bacterium
Lineage: Bacteria; Pseudomonadati; Acidobacteriota
Description: bacterial SSU rRNA
Rfam family: Bacterial small subunit ribosomal RNA
Source: RNAcentral